GUUAUAUGUAUUAACCCUGACUAACAUUCAUCAUUAUAAAUCUUUUAGUGCAAUAUAAAUAUUAAAACACAGGUUUUGUCUUAUAGAAUAACUUGUCAAAGAAUUCAAAUACAUGUACAGAAAAAUGCUAAAUGAGUGACAUGGCGCAUGAGUUAAAAAUAUUUUUUUUUAUCAUAGUUCUUGGAUUAAUUACUCUUUAAAUAACAUUGACCAUGGAUUUUGAAAUGGAAUCAAAUAGAAAAUGCAAGAACCUAUAUAUUGUUCUAUGCAUGCUCAAUUUGUUUUGAUUCAACAAUUUUAACGAUUUCUUGACAAAAACAACUUUUCCAAAUGUAAGACUGAAUGAAUAUGAUUUUCUUAAUAUAAC
Molecule: long non-coding RNA, 367 nt
Filed under: Mytilus galloprovincialis (Mediterranean mussel)
Lineage: Eukaryota; Metazoa; Mollusca; Bivalvia; Mytilida; Mytilidae
Source: RNAcentral